Non-coding RNA from Capsicum annuum, 106 nucleotides. The record is from Rfam. NCBI's taxonomy places the organism in Eukaryota, Viridiplantae, Streptophyta, Magnoliopsida, Solanales, Solanaceae.
AGUUCAUGAUUUAGGCAUUGGGCCAAUUUUCCAUUAAACCAUUCCCAAGCUUCAUACAAUGGCUCUCCAUUCAUUUGCUGAAAAUUCACAAUCUCGUCCUGCUUUU